This 218-nucleotide ribosomal RNA is filed under the name uncultured bacterium. RNAcentral's name for it is "partial 16S ribosomal RNA". It matches the Rfam family "Bacterial small subunit ribosomal RNA", at positions 1282 to 1500 of the family's 1533-position model. The record is from RNAcentral.
GCCAUCCCAGUUCGGAUUGCAGGCUGCAACCCGCCUGUAUGAAGUUGGAAUCGCUAGUAAUCGCGGAUCAGCAUGCCGCGGUGAAUACGUUCCCGGGCCUUGUACACACCGCCCGUCACACCAUGAGAGUCGGGAACACCCGAAGUCCGUAGUCUAACCGCAAGGGGACGCGGCCGAAGGUGGGUUCGAUAAUUGGGGUGAAGUCGUAACAAGGUACC